CGGCUAACCGAUCCGCAAGCACUGGAUCGGAAUGGGGCGAAUCUGCCACGUUGCUCCGAACUGACAGAGCAAAGCGCCCGACUUUUUGGCCUAUACCGUGCACACCUCACGACGCCACGGACGACCGCGCGGCAAUAGCGCCCUUGGCCAGCGAGUAGAGGUUCGACACCGAAAGGGCCAUGGGGUGGUCUUCGGGCACGCCCACGCUCGCGGCCUCGGACCGAAAGGUGCCAUAGAGAUCGUCGGCCUGCUUUUCGGCGUGACGCCAGCCGGGUCCGACGCUGGCGGGCGUCGCCUGUCCCGGCCGUGGUCCGGUCGGCGUGCGCGGCGGCCCAUAGGCCUUGCGUAGCGACUGCCGCAGCGGGUCGGGCAUGGCUUUGAUGCCCUCGCGCACCAUUUCGUCGAUGCGCGCCUGCUCCUCGGGAUCGAUCGACGAUUCCCCACCCGCGAUUCCAAUGUCGGCGUCGCCGUCGUCCAAUGGUUCCUCCAGGCCCGACGCGUUCUCCAUGUCGCUGCCGGCAUUGGCCUCGUCGGCCUCUCUGUCGUCGUCUUCGUCGUCAUCACGAGCAGGCGGCGCCUCCUUUUUCGGCGGGGCCUUUUUGGCGCGUGGCGCCGGCGGGUCGGAGCACUCUUGGACAAAGGCCGCCCAGUGGGUCUCGACGAGGCCCAUGAUCGGUUUGUAGGCGCGCGCGCUGGCGCCGUCCUUUUUCGCCAGGUAGACAAACAUGGGCUCCAUCCACGCGGGUAUCUUUUUCGGAA
This 759-nucleotide long non-coding RNA is filed under the name Pandoravirus salinus. Its description in RNAcentral is "putative ncRNA". The record is from RNAcentral.